UAGGGAAUCUUCGGCAAUGGACGAAAGUCUGACCGAGCAACGCCGCGUGAGUGAAGAAGGUUCUCGGAUCGUAAAACUCUGUUGUUAGAGAAGAACAAGGACGUUAGUAACUGAACGUCCCCUGACGGUAUCUAACCAGAAAGCCACGGCUAACUACGUGCCAGCAGCCGCGGUAAUACGUAGGUGGCAAGCGUUGUCCGGAUUUAUUGGGCGUAAAGCGAGCGCAGGCGGUUUCUUAAGUCUGAUGUGAAAGCCCCCGGCUCAACCGGGGAGGAUCAUUGGAAACUGGGAGACGUGAGUGCAGAAGAAGAGAGUGGAAUUCCAUGUGUAGCGGUGAAAUGCGUAGAUAUAUGGAGGAACACCAGUGGCGAAGGCGGCUCUCUGGUCUGUAACUGACGCUGAGGCUCGAAAGCGUGGGGAGCAAACAGG
Molecule: ribosomal RNA, 429 nt
Filed under: Gemmatimonadota bacterium
Lineage: Bacteria; Pseudomonadati; Gemmatimonadota
Description: Gemmatimonadetes bacterium partial 16S ribosomal RNA
Rfam family: Bacterial small subunit ribosomal RNA
Source: RNAcentral